RNAcentral lists this ribosomal RNA (605 nucleotides) under Streptomyces sp. A3MSBS35. RNAcentral's name for it is "bacterial SSU rRNA". It matches the Rfam family "Bacterial small subunit ribosomal RNA", at positions 169 to 787 of the family's 1533-position model. Lineage: Bacteria; Bacillati; Actinomycetota; Actinomycetes; Kitasatosporales; Streptomycetaceae. The record is from RNAcentral.
CCCCAUACAAGCCUCCUCCGCAUGGUGGAGGUUGGAAAGCUCCGGCGGUGCAGGAUGAGCCCGCGGCCUAUCAGCUUGUUGGUGAGGUAAUGGCUCACCAAGGCGACGACGGGUAGCCGGCCUGAGAGGGCGACCGGCCACACUGGGACUGAGACACGGCCCAGACUCCUACGGGAGGCAGCAGUGGGGAAUAUUGCACAAUGGGCGAAAGCCUGAUGCAGCGACGCCGCGUGAGGGAUGAAGGCCUUCGGGUUGUAAACCUCUUUCAGCAGGGAAGAAGCGAAAGUGACGGUACCUGCAGAAGAAGCGCCGGCUAACUACGUGCCAGCAGCCGCGGUAAUACGUAGGGCGCAAGCGUUGUCCGGAAUUAUUGGGCGUAAAGAGCUCGUAGGCGGCUUGUCGCGUCGGUUGUGAAAGCCCGGGGCUUAACCCCGGGUCUGCAGUCGAUACGGGCAGGCUAGAGUUCGGUAGGGGAGAUCGGAAUUCCUGGUGUANCGGUGAAAUGCGCAGAUAUCAGGAGGAACACCGGUGGCGAAGGCGGAUCUCUGGGCCGAUACUGACGCUGAGGAGCGAAAGCCUGGGGAGCGAACAGGGAUUAGAUACCC